GGAAGGAUGGCCGAGAGGCAAGGCUCCGGGGUGCUAACCCGUGGACGGGCCUGAAAACCCGCGCGCGUUCGAUCCGCGCUCCUUCCG
Molecule: transfer RNA, 87 nt
Filed under: Nannocystis exedens
Lineage: Bacteria; Pseudomonadati; Myxococcota; Nannocystales; Nannocystaceae
Also listed under: 12 other names
Rfam family: tRNA
About the family: Transfer RNA (tRNA) molecules are approximately 80 nucleotides in length. Their secondary structure includes four short double-helical elements and three loops (D, anti-codon, and T loops). Further hydrogen bonds mediate the characteristic L-shaped molecular structure. tRNAs have two regions of fundamental functional importance: the anti-codon, which is responsible for specific mRNA codon recognition, and the 3' end, to which the tRNAs corresponding amino acid is attached (by aminoacyl-tRNA synthetases). tRNAs cope with the degeneracy of the genetic code in two manners: having more than one tRNA (with a specific anti-codon) for a particular amino acid; and 'wobble' base-pairing, i.e. permitting non-standard base-pairing at the 3rd anti-codon position.
Source: Rfam by way of RNAcentral